AUUGAACGCUGGCGGCAGGCCUAACACAUGCAAGUCGAGCGGAUGAAGGGAGCUUGCUCCUGGAUUCAGCGGCGGACGGGUGAGUAAUGCCUAGGAAUCUGCCUGGUAGUGGGGGAUAACGUCCGGAAACGGGCGCUAAUACCGCAUACGUCCUGAGGGAGAAAGUGGGGGAUCUUCGGACCUCACGCUAUCAGAUGAGCCUAGGUCGGAUUAGCUAGUUGGUGGGGUAAAGGCCUACCAAGGCGACGAUCCGUAACUGGUCUGAGAGGAUGAUCAGUCACACUGGAACUGAGACACGGUCCAGACUCCUACGGGAGGCAGCAGUGCGGAAUAUUGGAAAAUGGGCGAAAGCCUGCUCCAGCCAUGCCGGGUGUGUGAAGAAGGUCUUCGGAUUGUAAAGCACUCUAAGUUGGGAGGAAGGGCAGUAAGUUAAUACCUUGCUGUUUUGACGUUACCAACAGAAUAAGCACCGGCUAACUUCGUG
Molecule: ribosomal RNA, 484 nt
Filed under: uncultured bacterium
Lineage: Bacteria
Description: partial 16S ribosomal RNA
Rfam family: Bacterial small subunit ribosomal RNA
Source: RNAcentral